CUGCGUGAGGGAUUGUAGAGGAAAUCCCGCAGCCUGACGAAGGAAGUGCGAGGAAUUGAAACGGAAAGCCCGACCUGCC
This 79-nucleotide unclassified non-coding RNA is filed under the name Aquimarina amphilecti. Its description in RNAcentral is "Flavo-1 RNA". Lineage: Bacteria; Pseudomonadati; Bacteroidota; Flavobacteriia; Flavobacteriales; Flavobacteriaceae. The record is from RNAcentral.